Molecule: non-coding RNA, 108 nt
Filed under: Escherichia fergusonii
Lineage: Bacteria; Pseudomonadati; Pseudomonadota; Gammaproteobacteria; Enterobacterales; Enterobacteriaceae
Description: antisense sRNA RprA
Rfam family: RprA RNA
About the family: Translational regulation of the stationary phase sigma factor RpoS is mediated by the formation of a double-stranded RNA stem-loop structure in the upstream region of the rpoS messenger RNA, occluding the translation initiation site. Clones carrying rprA (RpoS regulator RNA A) increased the translation of RpoS.
Source: RNAcentral
ACGGUUAUAAAUCAACGUAUUGAUUUAUAAUCAUGGAAAUCCCCUGAGUGAAACAACGAAUUGCUGUGUGUAGUCUUUGCCCAUCUCCCACGAUGGGCUUUUUUUUAA